Molecule: long non-coding RNA, 496 nt
Organism: Oncorhynchus tshawytscha (Chinook salmon)
Lineage: Eukaryota; Metazoa; Chordata; Actinopteri; Salmoniformes; Salmonidae
Source: Ensembl
AGGAGAUAUAAGAAUAGAGAGAGCGCGACACACACACAUUACCCCUACACACAGCGACCGAUCCGACAUCGAAACACGGGGAAGACGCAAUCACCGAGACCCGGGUGAAGCCUCUCUCUGAUGGGUAUCCAGUCCACCCAGUCAUCUCUUCAGGGACAUUAGUAGCUCUGGACAUUCUGCUUACUGCGGACCAGGCACUAAAAAGAGGCAGGCGAGCCAGGAUCCUGAUAAGACUACUUCGGCGAGCAAACAGACCGUCAUCGCCAUCUGUUCUAUUGGUACUAUUUAAUGAAGCUGCCAGUUGAGGACUUGUGAGGCGUCUGUUUCUCAAACUAGACACUGUAAUGUACUUGUCCUCUUGCUCAGUUGUGCACCGGGGCCUCCCACUCCUCUUUCUAUUCUGGUUAGAGCCACUUUGCUCUGUUAUGUGAAGGGAGUAGUACACAGCGUUGUACGAGAUCUUCAGUUUCCUGGGAAUUUCUCGCAUGGAAUAGCC